UGUAAUUUGUAGAGGAUGCUUUUGGUGAGGUGCCUUCCGAGUUCCCUGGAACGGGACGCCAUAGAGGGUGAGAGCCCCGUACGGUUGGAUACCAAGCCUCUGUAUAGCUCCUUCAACGAGUCGAGUAGUUUGGGAAUGCUGCUCUAAAUGGGAGGUAUAUCUCUUCUAAAGCUAAAUAUAGGCUAGAGACCGAUAGCGCACAAGUAGAGUGAUCGAAAGAUGAAAAGCACUUUGAAAAGAGAGUUAAACAGCACGUGAAAUUGUUGAAAGGGAAGCGCCUAUGACCAGACUUGUUUCUGGCAGUUUUGUUAGCCCUCGGGCUGAUUUACUCUGUCCAGUACAGGCCAGCAUCAGUUUGCUGUCGGGGAGAAAGGCUCUGGGAACGUAGCUCCCCCCUUCUGGGGGGAGUGUUAUAGCCCUCUGCAUAAUACCCUUCGGCAGACUGAGGACCGCGCUUCGGCAAGGAUGCUGGCGUAAUGGUCAUCAGCGACCCGUCUUGAAACACGGACCAAGGAGUCAACCUUAUGUGCGAGUGUUUGGGUGUAAAACCCCAGCGCGUAAUGAAAGUGAACGUAGGUGAGAGCUUCGGCGCAUCAUCGACCGAUUCUGAUGUUUUCGGAUGGAUUUGAGUAAGAGCACACAGGGUUGGACCCGAAAGAAGGUGAACUAUGCUUGUAUAGGGUGAAGCCAGAGGAAACUCUGGUGGAGGCUCGCAGCGGUUCUGACGUGCAAAUCGAUCGUCAAAUAUGAGCAUGGGGGCGAAAGACUAAUCGAACCUUCUAGUAGCUGGUUCCAGCCGAAGUUUCCCUCAGGAUAGCAGUGUUGAAUUUUCUUCAGUUUUAUGAGGUAAAGCGAAUGAUUAGGGACUCGGGGGCGCUAUAUUGCCUUCAUCCA
Molecule: ribosomal RNA, 894 nt
Filed under: Ceratocystis fimbriata
Lineage: Eukaryota; Fungi; Ascomycota; Sordariomycetes; Microascales; Ceratocystidaceae
Description: LSU rRNA
Rfam family: Eukaryotic large subunit ribosomal RNA
Source: RNAcentral